AUUGAGCGCUGGCGGCAUGCCUUACACAUGCAAGUCGAACGGCAGCAUGGAAGAGCUUGCUCUUCUGAUGGCGAGUGGCGAACGGGUGAGUAAAGCAUCGGAACGUACCGUGUAGUGGGGGAUAACGUAGCGAAAGUUACGCUAAUACCGCAUACGCACUGAGGGGGAAAGCAGGGGAUCGCAAGACCUUGCGCUAUACGAGCGGCCGAUGUCAGAUUAGCUAGUUGGUAGGGUAAAGGCCUACCAAGGCGACGAUCUGUAGCGGGUCUGAGAGGAUGAUCCGCCACACUGGGACUGAGACACGGCCCAGACUCCUACGGGAGGCAGCAGUGGGGAAUUUUGGACAAUGGGGGAAACCCUGAUCCAGCCAUGCCGCGUGAGUGAAGAAGGCCUUCGGGUUGUAAAGCUCUUUCGGCUGGGAAGAAAUCGCACAGGCUAAUACUCUGUGUGGAUGACGGUACCAGCACAAGAAGCACCGGCUAACUACGUGCCAGCCGCCGCCGUAA
Molecule: ribosomal RNA, 506 nt
Filed under: uncultured bacterium
Lineage: Bacteria
Description: partial 16S ribosomal RNA
Rfam family: Bacterial small subunit ribosomal RNA
Source: RNAcentral